UACGAAGGGGGCUAGCGUUGUUCGGAAUUACUGGGCGUAAAGCGCACGUAGGCGGAUUGUUAAGUCAGGGGUGAAAUCCCGGGGCUCAACCUCGGAACUGCCUUUGAUACUGGCAAUCUCGAGUCCGGAAGAGGUGGGUGGAAGUCCUAGUGUAGAGGUGAAAUUCGUAGAUAUUAGGAAGAACACCAGUGGCGAAGGCGGCCCACUGGUCCGGUACUGACGCUGAGGUGCGAAAGCGUGGGGAGCAAACAGG
RNAcentral lists this ribosomal RNA (253 nucleotides) under uncultured bacterium. RNAcentral's name for it is "partial 16S ribosomal RNA". It matches the Rfam family "Bacterial small subunit ribosomal RNA", at positions 524 to 776 of the family's 1533-position model. The record is from RNAcentral.